GACCGUGUGCCCGAGUGGUUCAGGGAGUCGCCUGCAAAGCGACUUACGCGGGUUCGAUUCCCGCCACGGUCUCCA
RNAcentral lists this transfer RNA (75 nucleotides) under Streptomyces sp. 1-11. RNAcentral's name for it is "tRNA-Cys". It matches the Rfam family "tRNA". Rfam says of the family: Transfer RNA (tRNA) molecules are approximately 80 nucleotides in length. Their secondary structure includes four short double-helical elements and three loops (D, anti-codon, and T loops). Lineage: Bacteria; Bacillati; Actinomycetota; Actinomycetes; Kitasatosporales; Streptomycetaceae. RNAcentral also lists the same sequence under 50 other names. The record is from RNAcentral.